RNAcentral lists this ribosomal RNA (522 nucleotides) under uncultured bacterium. Its description in RNAcentral is "bacterial SSU rRNA". It matches the Rfam family "Bacterial small subunit ribosomal RNA", at positions 11 to 504 of the family's 1533-position model. The record is from RNAcentral.
GUUUGAUCAUGGCUCAGGAUGAACGCUAGCGACAGGCCUAACACAUGCAAGUCGAGGGGCAUCGGGACGUAGCAAUACGUUGCCGGCGACCGGCGGAUGGGUGAGUAACGCGUAUGCAACCUACCCGUAGCAGGGGGAUAGCCCGUUGAAAGACGGAUUAAUACCCCGUAACACAGGGGCUCCGCAUGGAGAUUAUUGUUAAAGGGUCAUUUCUUUUUCAGGGAUGGUCCGGCUGCGGAUGGGCAUGCGUUCCAUUAGGUAGUUGGUGUAGGUAACUGCUCACCAAGCCGACGAUGGAUAGGGGAACUGAGAGGUUGGUCCCCCACACUGGUACUGAGACACGGACCAGACUCCUACGGGAGGCAGCAGUGAGGAAUUUUGGUCAAUGGACGCAAGUCUGAACCAGCCAUGUCGCGUGAAGGAGGACGGCCCUAAGGGUUGUAAACUUCUUUUGCAGUGGAAUAAAGUUUGCCACGUGUUGGCGAUUUGCAAGUACGCUGCGAAUAAGGAUCGGCUAACUCC